CCUUCGGGAGCGUGGAGACAGGUGGUGCAUGGUUGUCGUCAGCUCGUGUCGUGAGAUGUUGGGUUAAGUCCCGCAACGAGCGCAACCCUUGCUAUUAGUUGCUAACAGGUAGAGCUGAGCACUCUAAUGGGACUGCCGGUGACAAGCCGGAGGAAGGUGGGGAUGACGUCAAAUCAUCAUGCCCUUUAUGACCUGGGCUACACACGUGCUACAAUGGAUGGUACAGAGAGCAGCGAGGCAGCGAUGUGGAGCGAAUCUCAAAAAGCCAUUCUCAGUUCGGAUUGGAGUCUGCAACUCGACUCCAUGAAGUCGGAAUCGCUAGUAAUCGCGAAUCAGCAUGUCGCGGUGAAUGCGUUCCCGGGCCUU
Molecule: ribosomal RNA, 366 nt
Filed under: uncultured Syntrophomonas sp.
Lineage: Bacteria; Bacillati; Bacillota; Clostridia; Eubacteriales; Syntrophomonadaceae
Description: bacterial SSU rRNA
Rfam family: Bacterial small subunit ribosomal RNA
Source: RNAcentral